AUUGAACGCUGGCGGAAUGCUUUACACAUGCAAGUCGAACGGUAGAGGGGGCAACCCCUUGAGAGUGGCGAACGGGUGAGUAAUAUAUCGGAACGUGCCCAGUCGUGGGGGAUAACGUAGCGAAAGUUACGCUAAUACCGCAUACGAUCUAAGGAUGAAAGCGGGGGAUCGCAAGACCUCGCGCGACUGGAGCGGCCGAUAUCAGAUUAGGUAGUUGGUAGGGUAAAGGCCUACCAAGCCAACGAUCUGUAGCUGGUCUGAGAGGACGACCAGCCACACUGGAACUGAGACACGGUCCAGACUCCUACGGGAGGCAGCAGUGGGGGAUUUUGGACAAUGGGCGAAAGCCUGAUCCAGCCAUUCCGCGUGCAGGAUGAAGGCCCUCGGGUUGUAAACUGCUUUUGUACAGAACGAAAAGGUUUCUACUAAUACUAGGAGCUCAUGACGGUACUGUAAGAAUAAGCACCGGCUAACUACGUGCC
Molecule: ribosomal RNA, 482 nt
Filed under: uncultured beta proteobacterium
Lineage: Bacteria; Pseudomonadati; Pseudomonadota; Betaproteobacteria
Description: bacterial SSU rRNA
Rfam family: Bacterial small subunit ribosomal RNA
Source: RNAcentral